Molecule: ribosomal RNA, 254 nt
Filed under: uncultured bacterium
Lineage: Bacteria
Description: partial 16S ribosomal RNA
Rfam family: Bacterial small subunit ribosomal RNA
Source: RNAcentral
UACGUAGGGAGCAAGCGUUGUUCGGAUUUACUGGGCGUAAAGGGCUCGUAGGCGGCUAAUUAAGUCAGCUGUGAAAUCUCCGAGCUUAACUCGGAACGGUCAGCUGAUACUGAUCUGCUAGAGUGCGGAAGGGGCAAUCGGAAUUCUUGGUGUAGCGGUGAAAUGCGUAGAUAUCAAGAGGAAACCCUGAGGUGAAGACGGGUUGCUGGGCCGACAAUGAAGCUGAGUGCGCGAAAGCCAGGGGAGCAAACGGG